GAUGAACGCUGGCGGCGUGCCUAAUACAUGCAAGUCGAGCGAACAGAUGAGGAUCUUGCUCCUCUGACGUUAGCGGCGGACGGGUGAGUAACACGUGGAUAACCUACCUAUAAGACUUGGAUAACUUCGGGAAACCGGAGCUAAUACCGGAUAAUAUAUUGAACCGCAUGGUUCAAUAGUGAAAGACGGUUUUGCUGUCACUUCUAGAUGUAUCCUCGCCGCAUUAGCUAUUUGGUAAGGUAACGGCUUACCAAGGCAACGAUGCGUAGCCGACCUGAGAGGGUGUACGGCGACACUGGAGCUGAGACACGGUCCAGACUCCUACGGGAGGCAGAAGUAGGGAAUCUUCCGAAAUGGGCGAAAGCCUGAAGGAGCAACGCAGCGUGAGUGAUGAAGGUCUUCGGAUCGUAAAACGCUGUUAUUAGGGAAGAACAAAUGUGUAAGUAACUAUGCACGUCUUGACGGUACCUAAUCAGAAAGCCACGGCUAACUACGUG
Molecule: ribosomal RNA, 497 nt
Filed under: uncultured bacterium
Lineage: Bacteria
Description: partial 16S ribosomal RNA
Rfam family: Bacterial small subunit ribosomal RNA
Source: RNAcentral